UGAGGAAUUUUGCGCAAUGGGCGAAAGCCUGACGCAGCGACACCGCGUGGGGGAAGAAGGCCCUCGGGUUGUAAACCCCUUUCGUGAGGGAAAAAGUCCCGAGUAAUCGGGGUGAUGGUACCUCAGGAAGAAGCCACGGCUAACUCUGUGCCAGCAGCCGCGGUAAGACAGAGGUGGCAAGCGUUGUUCGGAUUUACUGGGCUUAAAGGGCGUGUAGGCGUCUUGAUAAGUCAGAUGUGGAAGCCUUAGGCUUAACCUAAGAAUUGCAUUUGAAACUAUCAGGAUUGAGUCAGGCAUGGGAGGGCGGAAUUCCUGGUGGAGCGGUGAAAUGCGUAGAUAUCAGGAGGAAGGCCGGUGGCGAAGGCGGCCCUCUAGGCCAUGACUGACGCUGAGGCGCGAAAGCGUGGGGAGCAAACAGG
Molecule: ribosomal RNA, 419 nt
Filed under: uncultured bacterium
Lineage: Bacteria
Description: bacterial SSU rRNA
Rfam family: Bacterial small subunit ribosomal RNA
Source: RNAcentral